UACGGAGGGUGCAAGGGUUAAUCGGAAUUACUGGGCGUAAAGCGCACGCAGGUGGCUGAGUCAGUCGAUUGUGAAAGCCCUGGGCUUAACCUGGGAAUUGCAGUCGAUACUACUCAGCUAGAGUAUGGGAGAGGGCAGUGGAAUUCCCGGUGUAGCGGUGAAAUGCGCAGAUAUCGGGAGGAACACCAAUGGCGAAGGCAGCUCGCUGGGACGUUACUGACGCUGAGACGCGAAAGCGUGGGGAGCAAACAGG
Molecule: ribosomal RNA, 253 nt
Filed under: uncultured bacterium
Lineage: Bacteria
Description: partial 16S ribosomal RNA
Rfam family: Bacterial small subunit ribosomal RNA
Source: RNAcentral